This is a non-coding RNA of Acanthosepion pharaonis, 108 nucleotides long. Lineage: Eukaryota; Metazoa; Mollusca; Cephalopoda; Sepiida; Sepiidae. The record is from the annotation of a GenBank genome assembly.
GUAAUAUCAUGUUGAAACACUGGUUCUUAUACAAUCACCAAAGUUAAGCAAUGUCAAGCCUGGUCAGUACCCAGAUGGGUGACCACUUGGGAAUAACAUGUGCUGUAA